RNAcentral lists this long non-coding RNA (1508 nucleotides) under Vigna radiata. RNAcentral's name for it is "long non-coding RNA (VRAD_LNC014524)". Lineage: Eukaryota; Viridiplantae; Streptophyta; Magnoliopsida; Fabales; Fabaceae. The record is from RNAcentral.
ACUCUCUCAUUUCUCACAUUCACUCUUGGGAAAACCUAGAGUUUCUCUCAAGGAAAAACGACCACCCCAUGAGCCCCCUCCUGCAAGGUUGUCGUGGCCUCCUCCAGUCCUUGCACAUCCGACCACCUCCUGACCCCAAAGCUUCACCGGAAACACCAGGGGUCGCCGGAACAUUGCUAGCCGUGGCAUCCCUGACUUUUCCCCUUCCUCUCGCUUACUCAAAGCAAAUGUCAUCACUGGAACCGAGUGCCUCUGCCGUUCUCCGAUAGCCACCAUCACCUAGAACCGGUCACCGUCAUCGUCAAUCCCUCGCGCCGUCAAAGCCAUCGUGACCUCUAGACGUUCAACCACGGCAGCCACCAUGCCGUCGAUUGUUCGCGCACGGCGUCGCCUACGUCGUCCGAAUCAACUCCGACCACAACUCCGAUGAAACUCAACCUUCCUUGCUUCGCAAUUCUUGUCGUCGCGCCCCCUUGCUCCAAGUUCGUUCAUCGCAAGUGAGAACAAAACGUUCUCACUCCCGCAACUUCCCCUCCCGAUUCAUGGUGAUCCCGACCAUUGAUACUACCAACUCUGUAUCAUCUCCAUGUACUACUGCUUCUAUUUAUUUAUUAUUUUUUUUUUAUUGAAAGUUUGUUAUAUCCAAAAAAAAUGUGAUGAGAAACAGGAUUGUCAUAUCAUAUGGGUUGAAAAUGCUGUCUGAGAUUGCUCCUGUUUGUAUUGUUUCUGUUUUGGGUAAUUUGAAAUAGGGAUAUGAUGAAUUUAGGGCCAGGUUCUUCUGUUGGGAUGAAACGGCUAUGAAGUUCUUCACGGUGUAAGUGAAGGUCGACGAUGUAACGGGGUUGGGCUGUGUGCGAGAGGGGUUUUUUUCUUUUGCUGGUUUGGUCUUCUCUUCUUUUUUUUUGUUAAUACAGGGGCGUUGGUCUUGGUGUAACAAGAGAACUGAAACUGGGGGUUGUUGGUGUUAGGGCCGUGUGUGAAGAUUAUUUGAUGGUUUUGAUGGUGGAGAGAACUCAAAGUGAUACGGGAUAAUGGUGGUAAUACCAAAUAAUGAUGGAGAUCAUCAAUGGAGGAUAAAAAAAAUGCAGGGAUUUUCACAUCAUAACCAUGCUCAGACCCAACAACAUCAAUGCUAAGAUAAAGAAAUAUAAUGCAGCAAGCAUUGAUGACAUGAACAUAGUAUGUUUACCUUUUAAAGCUUUGUGAAUUGCCGAAAGUCUUGUUUCUCCGGUGAUCUUUUUCUUACUGCUUCAGUGCUCUUUUUUUCUUUUUUUUAGGUCAAUCGCCAAUAAUCCUCUCACUCGUAAUACUGUUCCUCUCUUCUGCCUCUGUUUUCUGUUUUUUUCUUUGUUUAUGGUUUUUGAAUAAGGUAUAGAGUGAUGGAUGUUUGUUGGGAUCGUUACGGGUGUGGUCAUGGGGGAAUCCAGAUUGUGUGUGAUGUAUGCCUGUUGAAAUCUGUUGAUGUCUGUGAGUUUGUUGGAGGUGGUCAUUGGUUAAGCAUAGCAGAG